This 254-nucleotide ribosomal RNA is filed under the name uncultured bacterium. RNAcentral's name for it is "partial 16S ribosomal RNA". It matches the Rfam family "Bacterial small subunit ribosomal RNA", at positions 524 to 776 of the family's 1533-position model. The record is from RNAcentral.
UACGGGGGGAGCAAGCGUUGUUCGGAUUUACUGGGCGUAAAGGGCGCGUAGGCGGCCAGCACAAGUCAGUUGUGAAAUCUCCGAGCUUAACUCGGAAAGGUCAACUGAUACUGUGCGGCUAGAGUGCAGAAGGGGCAACUGGAAUUCUUGGUGUAGCGGUGAAAUGCGCAGAUAUCAGGAGGAACACCAAUGGCGAAGGCAGCCCGCUGGGACGUGACUGACGCUGAGACGCGAAAGCGUGGGGAGCAAACAGG